Molecule: long non-coding RNA, 631 nt
Filed under: Callithrix jacchus (white-tufted-ear marmoset)
Lineage: Eukaryota; Metazoa; Chordata; Mammalia; Primates; Cebidae
Description: lncRNA (ENSCJAG00000060084.2)
Source: RNAcentral
GGAAGGAAUAAGACAAAGAUGCCUGCUUUUGCCACUUCUACUUAGAAUCAUUCUAGAAAUUCUAGCCAGACCAAUGAGGUCCCCCUUCUCCAGGGCUACUGCAGUUUGCUGGAGGUUCACUCCAGACCCUGUUCACCUGAGUAUCACCCAUGGAGACUGCAGAACAGCAAAGAUUGCUUGUUCCUCUGGAAGCUUUAUCCCAGAGGGGCACCCGCCUGAUGCCAGCUGGAGUUCUUCUGUAUGAGGUUGCAGGUUUUGCAGAGAAAGACCACAGAGGAAAAGUAUCAUUCUCAUCAUGUGACGUCAAGGGUGUACUCUGCCAGUUUUACUCACAACUGUUGAUGUUGACCUUGAUCACCUGGAUUUGGCAGCUUCUGUCAAGUUUCCCCACUGUAAAGUCACACAGAAACAUUCUUGAUUUGGCCAACUCUGCACUGGGAGCUAAGGCGAGCCGACAGAGCAGGUGUCUGCAAUGCAUCAGGCGCAGGCAGGUGCAGCACACAGGCAGCAAGCAUGGCAGAGCAACAUGGGGAAACAGUGACGGCAGCCCCACAGAAGUGCACACAGACUCCAUCAGUGGUGCUCAGCGGCAGAUGAGGGGAUCCUGAUGCAGGACCUCUGAGGGACCAAC